This 440-nucleotide ribosomal RNA is filed under the name uncultured bacterium. RNAcentral describes it as "partial 16S ribosomal RNA". It matches the Rfam family "Bacterial small subunit ribosomal RNA", at positions 339 to 795 of the family's 1533-position model. The record is from RNAcentral.
CUACGGGAGGCAGCAGUGAGGAAUAUUGCACAAUGGGGGGAACCCUGAUGCAGCAACGCCGCGUGGAGGAUGACGCAUUUCGGCGUGUAAACUCCUUUUAUAUGUCAAGAAAAUGACGGUAGCAUAUGAAUAAGCACCGGCUAACUCCGUGCCAGCAGCCGCGGUGAAUACGGAGGGUGCAAGCGUUACUCGGGAUCACUGGGCGUAAAGGACGCGUAGGCGGGUUGGAAAGUCAGGUGUGAAAUCCUACAGCUUAACUGUAGAACUGCACUUGAAACUUCUAAUCUAGAGUAUGGGAGGGGGAGAUGGAAUUAGUGGUGUAGGGGUAAAAUCCGUAGAUAUCACUAGGAAUACCUAAAGCGAAGGCGAUCUCCUGGAACAUUACUGACGCUAAGGCGUGAAAGCGUGGGGAGCAAACAGGAUUAGAUACCCGCGUAGUC